RNAcentral lists this transfer RNA (77 nucleotides) under Deltaproteobacteria bacterium. RNAcentral describes it as "tRNA-Pro". It matches the Rfam family "tRNA". Rfam says of the family: Transfer RNA (tRNA) molecules are approximately 80 nucleotides in length. Lineage: Bacteria; Pseudomonadati; Myxococcota; Myxococcia. The record is from RNAcentral.
CGGAGCGUGGCGCAGCCAGGCAGCGCACCUGCUUUGGGAGCAGGAUGUCGCCCGUUCAAAUCGGGCCGCUCCGACCA